CGGGGCGUAGCGCAGCCUGGUAGCGCAUCUGCUUUGGGAGCAGGGGGUCGGAGGUUCGAAUCCUCUCGCCCCGACCA
RNAcentral lists this transfer RNA (77 nucleotides) under Pseudomonadota bacterium. RNAcentral describes it as "Proteobacteria bacterium tRNA-Pro". It matches the Rfam family "tRNA". Rfam says of the family: Transfer RNA (tRNA) molecules are approximately 80 nucleotides in length. The record is from RNAcentral. RNAcentral also lists the same sequence under 1 other name. Lineage: Bacteria; Pseudomonadati; Pseudomonadota.